UAGGGAAUCUUCCACAAUGGGCGCAAGCCUGAUGGAGCAACACCGCGUGAGUGAAGAAGGGUUUCGGCUCGUAAAGCUCUGUUGUUAAAGAAGAACACGUAUGAGAGUAACUGUUCAUACGUUGACGGUAUUUAACCAGAAAGUCACGGCUAACUGCGUGCCAC
Molecule: ribosomal RNA, 164 nt
Filed under: uncultured bacterium
Lineage: Bacteria
Description: partial 16S rRNA
Rfam family: Bacterial small subunit ribosomal RNA
Source: RNAcentral